AUACGACUCUAUUACUAAAUUGCAUUUGUAGGUUUCACAUAAAUCGGACAACGAAUUCACUGCGCUUUAGUGACAUUUCGAGUGGACGGGGGUGGAUGUUAAACGGUAGGGUUUUUUUUUCUAUCUCAAAUUGUCCCCAUAUACUACAACAUUUAUAAACGUUUGGAAAUAGGUGCUAUUUUAACGAAGUAUACGAAAAUUCCGACACAGAUACACUAAUUUUGUUUUGUACCUACGAACUAGUUUUACAAUACUGACAUCCAUGUUAAUAUUAAUAAUAAUUUUUAGUUCUGUACAUAUUUUUAAAUUAGAAGCU
This is a non-coding RNA of Cinara cedri, 316 nucleotides long. NCBI's taxonomy places the organism in Eukaryota, Metazoa, Arthropoda, Insecta, Hemiptera, Aphididae. The record is from the annotation of a GenBank genome assembly.